Pelobates cultripes (western spadefoot toad) is the source of this 219-nucleotide non-coding RNA. The record is from the annotation of a GenBank genome assembly. NCBI's taxonomy places the organism in Eukaryota, Metazoa, Chordata, Amphibia, Anura, Pelobatidae.
CCCACGAACACAGUUCUCAGAAUCAUCGACUGAAGUUUGACUUUCACCGGCCGUUCGUGUGGUUGCAGCCGACUGCAAGUUCCAUACUAUAGCUAUCUGGGGUCGGCCACUUUCGCAUUUAUUGUUAUUUCCACGAAAUCUCGCUGUAAUUCUCCAAAUAACCUAACAGGCUUGUUCGUAUAGUCUGUAAAUAGGGGAUUUCGUUACACAGCUCCCCCU